GAUGAACGCUGGCGGCGUGCCUAAUACAUGCAAGUCGAGCGAACGGACGAGAAGCUUGCUUCUCUGAUGUUAGCGGCGGACGGGUGAGUAACACGUGGAUAACCUACCUAUAAGACUGGGAUAACUUCGGGAAACCGGAGCUAAUACCGGAUGAUAUUUUGAACCGCAUGGUUCAAAAGUGAAAGACGGUCUUGCUGUCACUUAUAGAUGGAUCCGCGCUGCAUUAGCUAGUUGGUAAGGUAACGGCUUACCAAGGCAACGAUGCAUAGCCGACCUGAGAGGGUGAUCGGCCACACGGGAGCUGAGACACGGUCCAGACUCCUACGGGAGGCAGCAGUCGGGAAUCGUCCGCAGUGGGCGAAAGCCUGACGGAACAACGCCACGUGAGUGGUGAAGGUCUUCGGAUCGUAAAACUCUGUUAUUGAGGAAGAACAGAUGUGUAAGUAGCUGUGCACAUCUUGACGGUACCUAAUCAGAAAGCCACGGCUAACUACGUG
Molecule: ribosomal RNA, 497 nt
Filed under: uncultured bacterium
Lineage: Bacteria
Description: partial 16S ribosomal RNA
Rfam family: Bacterial small subunit ribosomal RNA
Source: RNAcentral